GACGAACGCUGGCGGCGUGCUUAACACAUGCAAGUCGAACGGAAAGGCCCUGCUUUUGUGGGGUGCUCGAGUGGCGAACGGGUGAGUAACACGUGAGUAACCUGCCCUUGACUUUGGGAUAACUUCAGGAAACUGGGGCUAAUACCGGAUAGGAGCUCCUGCUGCAUGGUGGGGGUUGGAAAGUUUCGGCGGUUGGGGAUGGACUCGCGGCUUAUCAGCUUGUUGGUGGGGUAGUGGCUUACCAAGGCUUUGACGGGUAGCCGGCCUGAGAGGGUGACCGGCCACAUUGGGACUGAGAUACGGCCCAGACGCCGACGGGAGUCAGCAGUGGGGAAUAGUGCACAAUGGGCGGAAGCCUGAUGCAGCAACGCCGCGUGCGGUAUGACGGCCUUCGGGUUGUAAACCGCUUUCGCCUGUGACGAAGCGUGAGUGACGGUAAUGGGUAAAGAAGCACCGGCUAACUACGUG
Molecule: ribosomal RNA, 468 nt
Filed under: uncultured bacterium
Lineage: Bacteria
Description: partial 16S ribosomal RNA
Rfam family: Bacterial small subunit ribosomal RNA
Source: RNAcentral